ACACACACACACACACACACAGUAUAACACACACACACACACACAGUAUAACACACACACACACACACACACAGUAUAACACACACACACACACAACAUAUAACACACACACACACACACAGUAUAACACACACACACACAGUAUAACACACACACACACACACAGUAUAACACACACACACAGUAUAACACACACACACACACAGUAUAACACACACACACACACACACACACAGUAUAACACACACACACACACACAGUAUAACACACACACACACACACACACACACAGUAUAACACACACACACACACACAGUAUAACACACACACACACACACACAGUAUAACACACACACACACACACACAGUAUAAACACACACACACACAGUAUAACACGCACACACACACACACACAGUAUAACACACGCACACACACACACACACAGUAUAACACACACACACAGUAUAACACACACACAUUAACACACACACACACACACAGUAUAACACACACACACAGUAUAACACACACAGUAUAACACACGCACACACACACACACGCAACACACACACAGUAUAACACACGCACACACACACACACGCAACACACACACAGUAUAACACACACACGCAACACACACACAGUAUAACACACGCACACACACACACGCAACACACACAGUAUAACACACACACACACACAGUAUACACACACACACACACACACACACACAGUAUAACACACACACACACACAGUAUAACACACACACAGUAUAACACACACACACACA
Long non-coding RNA from Oncorhynchus tshawytscha (Chinook salmon), 793 nucleotides. NCBI's taxonomy places the organism in Eukaryota, Metazoa, Chordata, Actinopteri, Salmoniformes, Salmonidae. The record is from Ensembl.